RNAcentral lists this small RNA (143 nucleotides) under bovine gut metagenome. RNAcentral's name for it is "M-box riboswitch (ykoK leader)". It matches the Rfam family "M-box riboswitch aptamer (ykoK leader)", at positions 11 to 159 of the family's 169-position model. Rfam says of the family: M-box riboswitch, also know as ykoK leader is described as a metaloregulatory RNA that sense divalent metals and function as a genetic control element of genes related to divalent metal transport in bacteria. The record is from RNAcentral.
UAUAUCGGUAGGUAAGGCUCCCUCUGGGAUACGGGCUGCUGCCGCGAAAAGUGGAGACACUGUAAGCAGGUCAACAGGUCACAUCGUUUAAGGUGUAAUCUAACGCAGUUUCAUUGCCCAUUGAAGCUAAAGCUUGUACGAAA